This 451-nucleotide ribosomal RNA is filed under the name uncultured bacterium. RNAcentral's name for it is "bacterial SSU rRNA". It matches the Rfam family "Bacterial small subunit ribosomal RNA", at positions 354 to 796 of the family's 1533-position model. The record is from RNAcentral.
GUCGAGGAUCAUUCGCAAUGGGCGCAAGCCUGACGAUGCGACGCUGCGUGGAGGAUGAAGGCCUUCGGGUUGUAAACUCCUGUCAUUCGGGAACAAGCGCGAGGGGGAUAAUAUUCCCUUUGUUUGAUAGUACCGGAAGAGGAAGCGGCUGCUAACUCUGUGCCAGCAGCAGCGGUAAUACAGAGGCCGCAAGCGUUGUUCGGAUUUACUGGGCGUAAAGGGUGCGUAGGUGGUUUCGUGUGUCGGAUGUGAAAUCUGACUGCUUGCCGGUCAAAUUGCGUUCGAAACUGCGAAACUUGAGGGCAGGAGAGGAGAGCGGAAUUCUCGGUGUAGCGGUGAAAUGCGUUGAUAUCGAGAGGAACACCGGUGGCGAAGGCGGCUCUCUGGAAUGCAUCUGACACUGAGGCACGAAAGUUGGGGGAGCAAACAGGAUUAGAUACCCUGGUAGUCC